Molecule: long non-coding RNA, 562 nt
Organism: Erinaceus europaeus (western European hedgehog)
Lineage: Eukaryota; Metazoa; Chordata; Mammalia; Eulipotyphla; Erinaceidae
Exons: 2
Source: RefSeq, a predicted model, not a curated record
CCUCAGGUAUUACAGUAGCAACUGAAGCAAGUAUUGAAGCAGUUUAAUCACAAUCAGUUAGCCAUACAAUUUCUCCAGUCUGUGAAAAAAUAGUAACCAAAUCCCAGUGAAGAAGAAAGAGAAAAGAAAGAAGGGAUAGCAAGAAUAGACAGCUAUGCAAAUCUACUAUCCACUGUAUAUUCUAGGGGUAACAAGAGGGGAAAGGGAACUAGAACAGAGAUACACACAUAGAGAGUCCACUCUGAGUCAGAUUUCUUCCCCAAAAUAAUUCACAAAUUCAGAAAGGCAAAGAAGAAGGAAGAAGUGUAUGACAAGAGAAAAAAAAAAAGAAAAGAAAAAGAAAAAAGAGACAAAGAGAGACAAGAGAGAGAAAAGGGAAAAGAUAAGAAAAAGAGCUGUAAUUAAAAAGCAGUGAAAGGAAAUUCCCAAAUGUGUAUCAGUGAAUUCAAAAAAGCACACUGUUUGGUGGUGUGGGGGCUGGGGGCUGUGACUUUGGAAGCUGUAGGAUUAAGGAAGAAAGGAUGACAAGAAUGAGAAAAAGAAAAAUAAAAAAAAAGAAAGA